RNAcentral lists this long non-coding RNA (462 nucleotides) under Numida meleagris (helmeted guineafowl). RNAcentral describes it as "lncRNA (ENSNMEG00000001989.1)". Lineage: Eukaryota; Metazoa; Chordata; Aves; Galliformes; Numididae. The record is from RNAcentral.
CCCCCCCCCCAUCCCCACCUGUGUCCCCGCCGCAGCUCCCUGAUUUUUGCCCUGCUCUCCCCCGCCCCCUCCAGGUGGCGCUGCUGCCCCAGGCACAGCUGGCGGCGCCUGCGGGGUCAGAGGUCAGAGCUCGGGGUCAGGGGUCAAAGGUCAGCGACUGGGGUCAGGGGUCAAGGCCUCCACCUCCUGCCAGCGUGACCGUGCCACGCGCAGCACCUCUGUGGGGUGACACCAAGGUGACAUGGGGGGACAUGGGGGAGUGACACAGGGUGACAAAGGGUGAAACAGGGGUGGCACGGGGUGACAAAGGGUGACAAAUAGUAAGACGGUGACACAGGGGAGUGACACAGAGUGACACAAGGUGACAAGGGGUGACGGGGGGGUGGCACAGAGGGGUGACAUGGGGGGUGAGCAGUGGGGUGACAUGGGGUGACAGAAGGUGACAAAGGGUGACAAGGGGAG